AACGAACGCUGGCGGCAUGCCUAACACAUGCAAGUCGAACGAGACCUUCGGGUCUUGUGGCGCACGGGUGCGUAACGCGUGGGAACCUGCCCUUAGGUUCGGAAUAACUCCCCGAAAGGGGUGCUAAUACCGGGUAAUGUCUUCGGACCAAAGAUUUAUCGCCUUUGGAUGGACCCGCGUUGGAUUUGCUAGUUGGUAGGGUAAAAGCCUACCAAGGGGACGAUCCAUAGCUGGUCUGAGAGGAUGUUCCGCAACACUGGGACUGGGACACGGCCCAGACUCCUACGGGAGGAAGCAGUGGGGAAUAUUGGACAAUGGGCGAAAGACUGAUGCAGCAAGGCCGCGUGAGUGAUGAAGGCCUUAGGGUUGUAAAGCUCUUUUAACCGGGAUGAUAGUGACGGUACCGGGAGAAUAAGCGACGGCUAACUACGUG
Molecule: ribosomal RNA, 433 nt
Filed under: uncultured bacterium
Lineage: Bacteria
Description: partial 16S ribosomal RNA
Rfam family: Bacterial small subunit ribosomal RNA
Source: RNAcentral